AGAGUUUGAUCCUGGCUCAGAACGAACGCUGGCGGCAUGCCUAACACAUGCAAGUCGAACGGGAUCCAGGCUUCGGCCUGGUGAGAGUGGCGGACGGGUGAGUAACACGUGGGAACCUGCCUUUUGGUUCGGGAUAACCGCGGGAAACUGCGGCUAAUACCGAAUGCUCCCGAGAGGGGAAAGAUUUAUCGCCAGAAGAGGGGCCCGCGUCCGAUUAGGUAGUUGGUGGGGUAAUGGCCUACCAAGCCGACGAUCGGUAGCUGGUCUGAGAGGAUGAUCAGCCACACUGGGACUGAGAUACGGCCCAGACUCCUACGGGAGGCAGCAGUGGGGAAUAUUGGACAAUGGGGGCAACCCUGAUCCAGCAAUGCCGCGUGAGUGAUGAAGGCCUCAGGGUUGUAAAGCUCUUUUGCCAGGGAAGAUGAUGACUGUACCUGGAGAAUAAGCCCCGGCUAACUUCGUGCCAGCAGCCGCGGUAAUA
Molecule: ribosomal RNA, 481 nt
Filed under: uncultured bacterium
Lineage: Bacteria
Description: bacterial SSU rRNA
Rfam family: Bacterial small subunit ribosomal RNA
Source: RNAcentral